Long non-coding RNA from Daphnia pulicaria, 103 nucleotides. RefSeq lists it as uncharacterized. Lineage: Eukaryota; Metazoa; Arthropoda; Branchiopoda; Diplostraca; Daphniidae. The record is from RefSeq and is a predicted model, not a curated record. The transcript is spliced from 4 exons.
CUCAAAUGGUUGUACUUGAACAGAUUCAUCUGUAAUAACCAACAGGUCUUCUAACGUGUUGGGCUUUUCAGGGUCUCUAAUUGUCUUCAGCAUGUCAGUGAUA